This 239-nucleotide unclassified non-coding RNA is filed under the name Hevea brasiliensis (rubber tree). The record is from RNAcentral. Lineage: Eukaryota; Viridiplantae; Streptophyta; Magnoliopsida; Malpighiales; Euphorbiaceae.
GCUUAUCACAUACUAUCUUCUCAAGAAGGUUCUUGAUGGCAACUUCACUGGCAGAGCCAUUGCUGAAGUGGAUCUGAACAAGUGCGAACCAUGGGAGCUUCCUGAGAAAGCUAAAAUGGGAGAGAAAGAGUGGUACUUCUUCAGCCUGAGAGAUAGGAAGUACCCAACUGGGCUGAGAACUAAUAGAGCCACUGAAGCUGGUUAUUGGAAGGCUACUGGGAAAGACAGGGAGAUUUACA